GAAAUGCGAUAAGUAAUGUGAAUUGCAGAAUUCAGUGAAUCAUCGAAUCUUUGAACGCACAUUGCGCCCGCCAGUAUUCUGGCGGGCAUUCCUGUUCGAGCGUCAUUUCAACCAUCAAGCCCCCGGCUUGUGUUGGGGACCUGCGGCUGCCCGCAGGCCCUGAAAAACAGUGGCGGGCUCGCUGUCACACCGAGCGUAGUAGCAUACAUUCUCGCUCAGGGCGUGCUGCGGGUUCCGGCCGUUAAACGACCUUCAUAACCCAAGGUUGACCUCGGAUCAGGUAGGAAGACCCGCUGAACUUAAGC
RNAcentral lists this unclassified non-coding RNA (305 nucleotides) under plant metagenome. Its description in RNAcentral is "partial contains 5.8S ribosomal RNA, internal transcribed spacer 2, and large subunit ribosomal RNA". The stretch from base 1 to 105 matches the Rfam family "5.8S ribosomal RNA", at positions 50 to 154 of the family's 154-position model. The record is from RNAcentral.